ACCUGGGUGGCUCAGUUGGUUGAGCGUCUGACUUCAGCUCAGGUCAUGAUGUUGCAGUUUGCGAGUUCAAGCCCCGCAUCAGGCU
Molecule: transfer RNA, 85 nt
Filed under: Felis catus (domestic cat)
Lineage: Eukaryota; Metazoa; Chordata; Mammalia; Carnivora; Felidae
Rfam family: tRNA
About the family: Transfer RNA (tRNA) molecules are approximately 80 nucleotides in length. Their secondary structure includes four short double-helical elements and three loops (D, anti-codon, and T loops). Further hydrogen bonds mediate the characteristic L-shaped molecular structure. tRNAs have two regions of fundamental functional importance: the anti-codon, which is responsible for specific mRNA codon recognition, and the 3' end, to which the tRNAs corresponding amino acid is attached (by aminoacyl-tRNA synthetases). tRNAs cope with the degeneracy of the genetic code in two manners: having more than one tRNA (with a specific anti-codon) for a particular amino acid; and 'wobble' base-pairing, i.e. permitting non-standard base-pairing at the 3rd anti-codon position.
Source: Rfam by way of RNAcentral